CUCGCAUUGAUUAGUUACCGUUGAUGUAUCAACUCAAAUGAUCGUGUACCUUAUGACUGAGUGGUGCCGGGGAUCGAACCCAGGGCCUUGUGCAUGCCGGGUGAACUCUCUACCACUCAGCUACACCCAGCCCAGGCUCACAUUCUUGGCUGCAUCUUAACUCGGUCAUCUACAAAGACUUUCUCCUGAGAGAGCUGCAGACGUAGCGUCCAUCAGUGGGAGAGUAACCCCGUAGAAGUCACUCUACUGCCCCCCACAUGAAGGAACUGACAUUUGUACAAGACCACAGCCCUGCCCAUCAGCCUGUCCAGGAGUAGCCAACUGCCCGGAUACUGCCUUUCACCUGUCACAGUUGCUAUCUAUGGAUUGGAUACAGUCGGAGUGAGUCUCCAGGGGUCUACCUGCUGAAGUCCAGUCCCUGCUGCAAGGCCCUGAGCCACCGUGAGGUGAGCAGCUUCUCUGCCCUGUGUUCCCUCCAUGAUGUCCUGCCUUGCCACAGGCCCGAAAGGAAUAGGGCCAGGCGGCUAUGGACUGAAACCUCCAAAACCUUGCUCGGGAAAUGCUGAAUGGACGCAUGAGUGGCAAAUUCGUAAUCCCUCCCGGAGGGCCAGGGUCGGAAAGAGCAACGAAGCCUCCGCCCAGGUUUCCAAUCCCAGCUGCGAUGCUCACGGGCUACAGAGCCUUGGCGAAGUUGCA
Molecule: long non-coding RNA, 696 nt
Filed under: Heterocephalus glaber (naked mole-rat)
Lineage: Eukaryota; Metazoa; Chordata; Mammalia; Rodentia; Bathyergidae
Description: lncRNA (ENSHGLG00000037315.1)
Source: RNAcentral